ACCUUGCUGACGAGUGCCAAGUAGAACGAAACCCGGGUCCAGUGU
This 45-nucleotide non-coding RNA is filed under the name Schistosoma mansoni. Lineage: Eukaryota; Metazoa; Platyhelminthes; Trematoda; Strigeidida; Schistosomatidae. The record is from RNAcentral.